Small nucleolar RNA from Takifugu rubripes (torafugu), 77 nucleotides. NCBI's taxonomy places the organism in Eukaryota, Metazoa, Chordata, Actinopteri, Tetraodontiformes, Tetraodontidae. The record is from Ensembl.
UGGCAAUGAUGUUUGAAUUUCUUCACCUGAAGUCUCUAUGUAGAUCAAAACAGACGAGCUUUUUAACCCUGAGCAGG